RNAcentral lists this long non-coding RNA (242 nucleotides) under Lathyrus oleraceus (garden pea). RNAcentral's name for it is "Pisum sativum (pea) long non-coding RNA (PSAT_LNC032681)". The record is from RNAcentral. Lineage: Eukaryota; Viridiplantae; Streptophyta; Magnoliopsida; Fabales; Fabaceae.
CCUGUAUCACGUGAGAAAAAUCAAAUCACAGUUGGAACUAGUUGUACACAACAUAUAUUGAUGUAACAUGACCAUCAUAAGAACCAGCAGUUGACAAAUCCCUUGACCCUGCAGCAAUACCAGAUUAAUGCCACGGUUUAACCUUGCCAACAAAACCAAUGCAAGGCAUAACAUAAACCAAGGCAAUGCCUUCUGCAGCAUCACUAGCAACCAUGUCCUACAACAUACAACAACAUCCCAAG